Molecule: ribosomal RNA, 497 nt
Filed under: uncultured bacterium
Lineage: Bacteria
Description: partial 16S ribosomal RNA
Rfam family: Bacterial small subunit ribosomal RNA
Source: RNAcentral
GAUGAACGCUGGCGGCGUGCCUAAUACAUGCCAGUCGAGCGAACAGACGAGGAGCUUGCUCCUCUGACGUUAGCGGCGGACGGGUGAGUAACACGUGGAUAACCUACCUAUAAGACUGGGAUAACUUCGGGAAACCGGAGCUAAUACCGGAUAAUAUAUUGAACCGCAUGGUUCAAUAGUGAAAGACGGUUUUGCUGUCACUUAUAGAUGGAUCCGCGCCGCAUUAGCUAGUUGGUAAGGUAAAGGCUUACCAAGGCGACGAUGCGUAGCCGACGUGAGAGGGUGAUCGGCCACACUGGAACUGGGACACGGACCAGACUCCUGCGAGAGGCAGCAGUAGGGAAUCUGCCGCAAUGGGCGAGAGCCUGACGGAGCAACGCGGCGUGAGUGAUGAAGGUCUUCGGAGCGUAAAACUCUGUUAUUAGGGAAGAACAAAUGUGGAAGUAACUAUGCACGUCGUGACGGUACCGAAUCAGAAAGCCACGGCUAACUACGUG